Molecule: ribosomal RNA, 492 nt
Filed under: uncultured bacterium
Lineage: Bacteria
Description: partial 16S ribosomal RNA
Rfam family: Bacterial small subunit ribosomal RNA
Source: RNAcentral
AGUGAACGCUGGCGGUAGGCCUAACACAUGCAAGUCGAACGGCAGCACAGUAAGAGUUUGCUCUUACGGGUGGCGAGUGGCGGACGGGUGAGGAAUAUAUCGGAAUCUACUUUUUCGUGGGGGAUAACGUAGGGAAACUUACGCUCAUACCGCAUACCACCUACGGGUGAAAGCAGGGGAUCUUCGGACCUUGCGCGAUUGAAUGAGCCGAUGUCGGAUUAGCUAGUUGGCGGGGUAAAGGCCCACCAAGGCGACGAUCCGUAGCUGGUGUGAGAGGAUGAUCGGCCACACUGGAACUGAGACACGGUCAAGACUCCUACGGGAGGCAGCAGUGGGGAAUAUUGGACAAUGGGCGCAAGCCUGAUCCAGCCAUACCGCGUGGGUGAAGAAGGCCUUCGGGUUGUAAAGCCCUUUUGUUGGGAAAGAAACGCAGCCGGUUGAUACGCCGCUGUUCUGACGGUACCCAAAGAAUAAGCACCGGCUAACUUCGUG